RNAcentral lists this unclassified non-coding RNA (1849 nucleotides) under Hevea brasiliensis (rubber tree). The record is from RNAcentral. Lineage: Eukaryota; Viridiplantae; Streptophyta; Magnoliopsida; Malpighiales; Euphorbiaceae.
GUCAUCACUAACUCUUGUACAUUAAUAAAAUAUCUAUAACUUCAUUCUAUUAAUACUUAUUCAAACACCACACAAUAUACUUUUGUACAAUAUUUGAUAUCUAUCAAACUCCUUUAACAAGCCUACAUUGGCAUUCAAGUACACACAUACAUACCUUCAACUUAAAAAGAUAGCUAGCAAUUACCAGUCAAACAGCUUGCAUCUCCCUCUCCCUGGCAGCAACUGUAUUAUUCGGCAUCACCACUCUUUCUGCCUCCACACCCAAAACAUCAUCAGCCUCCAUCUCCGGCAUGGCCAAUCCCCGCACGAACUCCGUAAACCUCGGCCAAUGCUCCGGCGAGAAGAAAUCCGCCCCCAUCCUCUGAUAAGUAAACGACUCCACGCUCCUCGUCAACAUAAUUUCCUUGAUUCUCCUAAACCCAGCCCCCACACCAAGCGAAGAUGAAUUCUCUCCACCCAUCACCACCCCAUGCCUCUCGCAAGCCCCAAUAAUAUCCGACAGCAACCUCUCAGGGCUCGACUGAACCCCUCUCGGCCUGUCCUCCUCCGCAAUAUCGACCCCUGGGACAACCAUCAUACAACAAUUCUUCGCAAACACUUCCGCAACCGCAUCAUAGGCAUUGCGAUCCCCGGCGUGAUAGUAACCGGCUGUCAGUAGUGCUGGCCGUGACCGCAUAUUGUACCAGCAAUGUACAAGCGGCACCUUGCCAGAAAUCCUCACAGUGAAACUACCACCACCAAACACAGUGGAUGCCAAUGACAGGAGACGGUCAGCGUGGGAGAUCAGCUGGCCUGAAUACCAAUUGAGGAAGAAUUUACCGUAAGAUGACUCCCAUGAGCCGUUAUCCUUGAAAAAAUUCCCGAACUCUGGGGUCUGGUUGUACUCCGGUGCGUCGUGGGGACCACCGAGCCCCCAGAGCGGGUUGCCGGAGGCGUCGGCGUGGGUCUUGAGUGAUUGAAGCAUGUACUUGCCGUAGCAUUGGAAUUCUCCGAUGCCAGUGAAUUUUUCUAUGGAAGAGGUGGGGUAGGAAGGGUAACGGAGCUCGCUGCCAGGGCCGAGACCGACUGUGAUAUCGGUGAUUGUUGAGCCGAGGAGAUCAGCGAAGGCUGAUUGGAAGCUGAGGAAGAAAUUCUGAUAAGCUGACAUAGGUGUCGAGCCGUUGAGGAUGGAGAGGUCGUCGACGGCGAAGGAGAGGCAGCCGGGAAACCGGCGGCCGGAGCGGUCGGUGAAGAGAAGGUCCGGAUUGGCGGCGGCGAUGGUGGAGAUCCAUUUGGGGAGGGCACCGUGGAGGUGGAGGGAGACACGGAGGCGGAGGCCGGAGUCACGGGCGGCGACAGCGACGGUGCGGUAGGCUGACCAGUCGAAUUGAUCUGGGGCGUCUUGCUGGACGACGGACCAGCGGAUUGGGAGGUCUAGACCGUGUACGCCUAGAAGCUUGAGGGCGCGGAUACCGGCAGCGAUGGCUUUGGAGUGGUUGAGGGUAUUGGACUCGGAGACGGUGUCAAGAGGGAGCCCGACGAAGAGAGGCGGUGAAGAUAGUUGGGGUUGAAGUUUUGAUGGGGUGGGAUUGAUGGCCACUUGAGAACGGGGCGGUGCAGCGGCGCGGAUGCUUGACUUUUUGGUGGUUGUGGUUGGGAUGAAAGUGAUUCUUCUCGGCUUGGAUGAUGUUUGGUUUGGUUGGCCCAGUGGGAAGAGCUCCGGCUUUGGUGAGACGGACUGACGGAGCAUGAGAGAGGCGUCCAUGGAGGUUGGUUGAUGAAGGGGGAGGAUGAGGGAUGAGGAAGGAGGAUGAGCCCUAUAUUAAGGGGUGGCCAUGGGCGGCUUGGAAUGGCGCUAAAAUGCAAAAAG